This 329-nucleotide ribosomal RNA is filed under the name uncultured eukaryote. Its description in RNAcentral is "partial 18S ribosomal RNA". It matches the Rfam family "Eukaryotic small subunit ribosomal RNA", at positions 1470 to 1796 of the family's 1831-position model. The record is from RNAcentral.
CCCUUAGAUGUUCUGGGCCGCACGCGCGCUACACUGAUGCAUUCAACGAGUCUAAAACCUGCUCUGAUAGGGGUGGGUAAUCUUUUGAAUGUGCAUCGUGAUUGGGAUAGAUGAUUGCAAUUUUUCAUCUUCAACGAGGAAUGCCUAGUAAACGCAAGUCAUCAGCUUGCAUUGAUUACGUCCCUGCCCUUUGUACACACCGCCCGUCGCACCUACCGAUUGAAUGGUCCGGUGAAAUCUUCGGAUUGAGACUUUGUUUUCUUCACGGAAAACGCUGUUUUAAAAAGUUGAUUAAACCUUACCAUUUAGAGGAAGGUGAAGUCGUAACA